UCGCCAGACUCCUACGGGAGGCAGCAGUGGGGAAUAUUGGACAAUGGGGGGAACCCUGAUCCAGCGACGCCGCGUGAGUGAAGAAGUAUUUCGGUAUGUAAAGCUCUAUCAGCAGGGAAGAAAGAAAUGACGGUACCUGACUAAGAAGCCCCGGCUAACUACGUGCCAGCAGCCGCGGUAAUACGUAGGGGGCAAGCGUUAUCCGGAUUUACUGGGUGUAAAGGGAGCGUAGACGGUUAUGUAAGUCUGGAGUGAAAGCCCGGGGCCCAACCCCGGGACUGCUUUGGAAACUGUGUAACUGGAGUACAGGAGGGGCAGGCGGAAUUCCUGGUGUAGCGGUGAAAUGCGUAGAUAUCAGGAGGAACACCGGCGGCGAAGGCGGCCUGCUGGACUGAAACUGACGUUGAGGCUCGAAAGCGUGGGAAGCAAACAGGAUUAGAUACCCUGGUA
RNAcentral lists this ribosomal RNA (450 nucleotides) under uncultured bacterium. RNAcentral describes it as "bacterial SSU rRNA". It matches the Rfam family "Bacterial small subunit ribosomal RNA", at positions 328 to 792 of the family's 1533-position model. The record is from RNAcentral.